Molecule: ribosomal RNA, 843 nt
Filed under: Enterobacter cloacae
Lineage: Bacteria; Pseudomonadati; Pseudomonadota; Gammaproteobacteria; Enterobacterales; Enterobacteriaceae
Description: bacterial SSU rRNA
Rfam family: Bacterial small subunit ribosomal RNA
Source: RNAcentral
GUCGAACGGUAGCACAAAGAGCUUGCUCUCGGGAGACGAGUGGCGGACGGGUGAGUAAUGUCUGGGAAACUGCCUGAUGGAGGGGGAUAACUACUGGAAACGGUAGCUAAUACCGCAUAAUGUCGCAAGACCAAAGAGGGGGACCUUCGGGCCUCUUGCCAUCAGAUGUGCCCAGAUGGGAUUAGCUAGUAGGUGGGGUAACGGCUCACCUAGGCGACGAUCCCUAGCUGGUCUGAGAGGAUGACCAGCCACACUGGAACUGAGACACGGUCCAGACUCCUACGGGAGGCAGCAGUGGGGAAUAUUGCACAAUGGGCGCAAGCCUGAUGCAGCCAUGCCGCGUGUAUGAAGAAGGCCUUCGGGUUGUAAAGUACUUUCAGCGGGGAGGAAGGUGUUGUGGUUAAUAACCGCAGCAAUUGCGUUACCCGCAAAAGAAGCACCGGCUAACUCCGUGCCAGCAGCCGCGGUAAUACGGAGGGUGCACGCGUUAAUCGGAAUUACUGGGCGUAAAGCGCACGCAGGCGGUCUGUCAAGUCGGAUGUGAAAUCCCCGGGCUCAACCUGGGAACUGCAUUCGAAACUGGCAGGUUGGAGUCUUGUACAGGGGGGUAGAAUUCCAGGUGUAGCGGUGAAAUGCGUAGAGAUCUGGAGGAAUACCGGUGGCGAAGGCGGCCCCCUGGACAAAGACUGACGCUCAGGUGCGAAAGCGUGGGGAGCAAAAGGAUUAGAUACCCUGGUAGUCCACGCCGUAAACCAUGUCGAUUUGGAGGUUGUGCCCUUGAGGCGUGGCUUCCGGAGCUAACGCGUUAAAUCGACCCCCUGGGGAGUACGGCCGCAAGGUUAA